This is a non-coding RNA of Xyrichtys novacula (pearly razorfish), 6394 nucleotides long. The record is from the annotation of a GenBank genome assembly. NCBI's taxonomy places the organism in Eukaryota, Metazoa, Chordata, Actinopteri, Labriformes, Labridae.
UUCAGAGAAGGAGGCUCAGAGAAGGAGGCCUGUGGUUUAUAUAUUUACACACACAUACAUUCAUAUAUGUGUAUGUGUGUGUAAAUAUAUAUAAAGUCUGUUAUUGAGAGUCGCUGUUUGGACAGCAGCUGUCCGUCACUCUGACCUGAUCACAUGAUCACAUGAUCAGGCUGCACUCUCUCACACACACACACACACACACACCUAUCUUCUGGGAGUGUGUGUGUGUGUGUUUCUUGCUUUUGCUCAUUCAUAUUGCCCCCCCACCACACAAACACACACACACACACACACACACACACACACACACACACACACACACACACACACUCACUUACACACACACUCACUCACUCUCACACACACAGCAGUGUGUGUGUUCAGACCCUCAUUUCUCUCUCAGACACUUUGCUGGCGUUGCAUCUGAACAGACACAGACGGCGAGUUUGAAUCUGAUGACGAAUCUCACGUUUAAUUUAGUCGGCCUUUCUGCGAGGAAAACGAAGAACGAAGAACGAAGAACGAAGACGACUCGAUUUAAUGAACGAGUUUAAAAAUGGGGGGGGGUCUGUGUGUGUUUGUGUGUGAGUGUGUUUGUGUGUGAAUGUGAGUGUGUUUGUGUGUGUGUGUGUGUGUAUUUGUGUGUGUUUGUGUGUGAGUGUGUGUGUGUUUGUGUGUGAGUGUGUGUGUUUGUGUGUGUGUGUUUGUGUGUGUGUGAGUGUGUGUGUGUUUGUGUGUGUGUGUUUGUGUGUGAGUGUGUGUGUGAGUGUGUGUGUGUGUGUGUGUGUGUUUGUGUGUGAGUGUGUUUGUGUGUGAGUGUGUGUGUUUGUGUGUGUUUGUGUGUGAGUGUGUGUGUUUGUGUGUGUGUGUGUGUGUGUGAGUGUGAGUGUGAGUGUGAGUGUGUGUGUUUGUGUGUUUGUGUGUUUGUGUGUGAGUGUGUGUGUGAGUGUGAGUGUGUGUGUUUGUGUGUUUGUGUGUGUGUGUUUGUGUGUGAGUGUGUGUGUGAGUGUGAGUGUGUGUGUUUGUGUGUUUGUGUGUUUGUGUGUGAGUGUGUGUGUUUGUGUGUUUGUGUGUGAGUGUGUGUGUUUGUGUGUGUUUGUGUGUGAGUGUGUGUGUUUGUGUGUUUGUGUGUUUGUGUGUGUGUUUGUGUGUGUUUGUGUGAGUGUGUGUUGGCUCUGUCUGCUCCUGGGACUCUGGUCUCCACGGUAACCGUCUCUCUCUCCCGGUGGUCCGUCCGUCAUUAGCGGGCUUCUGUUGAUGGUUCUGAUCCAAACGGACCUUCAGCUCCUCUAUCAGGUGUAAUCGUGUGGAAGUGGCGAGCUGAACCAACAUGAGGAGUGAGAGAGUAAUCGUCCAAUCAGGAGGCGGGUCUGAGCGCCUGUUUCUGAGUCUUCAGAUAUUUGCUGUUUGUUUUUUCCUCUUUGUCUCGUCUCCCCCUCGCCUCCCCCCGCCUCCCCCUCCUGAGUGAGGAGAAAUUGAGAAACCAAUCUAAAAUCCAUCAGGACUCCCCGGCCCACAGCCGCCCGGCUCCCACUCCCACCCCCACGCCUGUUUUUUGUGUUGCGAGCGUCUGGAAAUUGGAUGAGAUGUUCGUUUAGCGGGCAGCUGGUCUGGGGCCGAUAUGAAUUGCGUUUCCCCACGCCAGGAAAGGUCAAGCCCCCUCGCCUUGACGGAGUGCAUCGGCCUAUUGAGUGGCGCUUUAGUCCAUUUACCAACCGCCAAUGGCAGCGCGGCAGAGGGGGAGAGAGGCGAGCGCGGGCCUGUGUGGAGGAGAGGGAAGAAUGGCGGCACGUCGGAUAUAAAUUCAUUGUUUCUCAUCACCCAGCUGGGGCAGGGAUGGCUGGGAGUGAUUGCAGGGCUGGGGGGGAGAGAGAGGUGGGAAUAUUAGCGUCUGAGUGGGCUGAGCCCGUGUGACAGAGGAGAUGAGCUCGCCUCCUUCGCCAACGCCGCCCAGAAUUUUGAUGGACGAUGUGAAGAGCUUAAACCGGCUUUAAAACAGCGCCUGAAAUCACCGGACGCCGCUGUGAGGCGGGCCGGCCUUUUCAUGGGGCAGGCAGCUACUGAAGUGUACCUUUAUUUUGAAAGAGGACAGGAAGUAACGCCACGGCGCAGAGGAAGCAUAAAAUAGAGACGGUAAAAACCGCGUCCUCUGCUGCUCGGACAGAAAGGCCUCAGGGCUGCUGCUCCCUCGCUCAGGAAACAGGCGUACUGUCCCUUUAAUUUCCAGCCCUCUGUGUGUGUGUGUGUGUGUGUGUGUGUGUGUGUGUGUGUGUGGAGGACUUAAAGCAAUUAAAACAAAGGCGUAUUUAACACGAGGUUAAUGAUUGGCUGACCCUGCAGUCAGCACAACGACAAUAUCUUCAUUAUUGAGAAAGCUCAACUCAUUACGCCCACCACGGCCUGAGGGGCGGCGCUAUUGAUCGGGAUCCGGUCCCAUUACAGGCCCGGACCCCCGGACCCCCCCCAGACCGUCUCACUGUCAGCUGGACGGUGAGACAGGAGCUGGACCAGGACUGUGAGCUUUAGUGGUUUCUAAAGGAUUCAUUACCGAGCCUGAGGAGGGAUUAUUCUCCUCCUCUUUCUCCUCCUCUCCUGUUUUGUGGAGACCUCCUCGGAGUUGAAGGACCCGUCUCACCGUUGAGGCGAGAGAGAGAGAGGCAGCCCGACCCACCCGACACGAGGAAGAGGAGGAGGAGGAACUCGUUCUGAAAAAGGGCGCGAGUCGAGACAUCAGUUUUCUGGAGAUUCUUUAGAUUCAGAAAAUCCGACAAUGAUCAAAAACCAAAACUACAGAAACACCAACCACCUCCUCCUCCACCUCCUCCUCCACCUGAAGAUGAAACUCGUUAAACUCUGUCUGAGUCUAAAGACGCACUUGCUGCACCGAAAACUGAACCUGCAGCAGCUCCUCUCAGAGUCUCUGACCAAAGAGACGAUCAAACAUCAUCAGACUGAACUUUAGUUUGGAUUAAAAUCAGAGUUUAAAAUCAGACAGUUUGGUUCUUCUGAAGACGUUCAUGAACACGGAGAGAGAAACUCAGACUGAGGGAGAAGAUUCUGUUCAGACUGACCAACUCUGAGGUCAACUCUUUCACCUUCUCCUCCUCCUCAUCUCUCCUCCUCCUCUCUCAUCCUCUUUCUUCCUCCUCUUUCUUCCUCCUCUCUCCUCCUCUCCCCUCCUCCUUCUCUCCUCCUCCUCCUCUCUCCUCCUCUCUCUUGCUCCUCCCUCUGCUCCUCCUCUCUCUUCCCCCUGCUGCUCCUCCUCCUGCUGCUCCUCCUCCUCUUUCCUGCUCCUCCUCCUCUCCUGCUCCUCCUGCUCCUCUCAGAGUAGAGCAGCAGAGCUGAGCUGUAAUUACCCCGUCAGUGUGUGCCGUCCUUAUUAAAACACUCCUAACAGUGCUGCUCCUCUCUCCUCUCUCCUCCUCCUCUCUCCUCCUCUCCUCUCCUCUCUCCUCCUCUCCUCCUCCUCUCUCCUGGGUUAGAGCUGAGCUGUAAUUACCCCGUCAGUGUGUGCCGUCCUUAUUAAAACACUCCUAACAGUGCUCCUCUCUCCUCGUCCUCUCUCCUCUCUCCUCCUCUCCUCCUCUCCUCCUCUCUCCUCCUCUCCUCCUCCUCUCUCCUGGGUCAGAGCUGAGCUGUAAUUACCCCGUCAGUGUGUGCCUGCCUAAUUAAAACACUCCUAACAGUGCUCCUCUCUCCUCUCUCCUCUCUCCUCCUCUCUCCUCGUCCUCUCUCCUCUCUCCUCCUCCUCUCCUCCUCCUCUCUCCUGGGUUAGAGCUGAGCUGUAAUUACCCCGUCAGUGUGUGCCGUCCUUAUUAAAACACUCCUAACAGUGCUCCUCUCUCCUCUCUCCUCCUCUCCUCCUCUCUCCUCUCUCCUCUCUCCUCCUCCCUCUCCUCUCUCCUCUCCUCUCUCCUCCUCUCCUCCUCCUCUCUCCUGGGUUAGAGCUGAGCUGUAAUUACCCCGUCAGUGUGUGCCGUCCUUAUUAAAACACUCCUAACAGUGCUCCUCUCACCUCGUCCUCUCUCCUCUCUCCUCUCUCCUCUCUCCUCCUCUCCUCUCUCCUCCUCUCCUCCUCUCUCCUCCUCUCUCCUGGGUUAGAGCUGAGCUGUAAUUACCCCGUCAGUGUGUGCCGUCCUUAUUAAAACACUCCUAACAGUGCUCCUCUCACCUCGUCCUCUCUCCUCUCUCCUCUCUCCUCUCUCCUCCUCUCCUCUCCUCCUCUCCUCUCUCCUCCUCUCUCCUCUCUCCUCCUCCUCUCUCCUCCUCUCUCCUCUCCUCUCUCCUCCUCUCUCCUCCUCUCCUCUCUCCUCCUCUCUCCUCCUCCUCUCUCCUGGGUCAGAGCUGAGCUGUAAUUACCCCGUCAGUGUGUGCCGUCCUUAUUAAAACACUCCUAACAGUGCUCCUCUCACCUCGUCCUCUCUCCUCUCUCUCCUCCUCUCCUCCUCUCCUCUCUCCUCCUCUCUCCUCCUCCUCUCUCCUGGGUCAGAGCUGAGCUGUAAUUACCCCGUCAGUGUGUGCCGUCCUUAUUAAAACACUCCUAACGUUGCUCCAUUAUUGAGAGACCCCCCACCGGACUCCUCUUAAUUCGUUAAAUAAAUUAGCGCCGGCCCUUUAAUAAUUCAUCGACUCGUGUCUCGGCGUUUUUCCUCCCCGCUGAGGGUAACUAUGACAAAAAGCAGGAGGAUGAUACGGCGUGGAGCAGAGCGAGGAGGCCGUGGGUGAAACAGGAGGAGGUUUUAAUGAGAUCAUGAAACCGGUUUUUAGGGUCGACCUUUGACCUUUGAGUGUCUCUGGGAUCAUCAGACGUCCUGUAAACCGUCUUAUAUUUGUCCGUCUGUCUGACUGAGACACACUGAAGUGUCUCUGAGCUCCAGCCUGCAGAAGUGACUCUCAUCCUCCAAAGAGCACAUUUUUUCCCACGUGGCCGCCCGCCCGCCCGCCGGCUCGCCCGCCCGCCCGCUCGCUCGCCCGCCCGCUCGCCUGUCUCCUGUGUCCCUCUCAUUUGUGUUGCAUUAAUGUGCUAAUGAGAAUCUCCUUGGGCGAAGGCAGAGCAGCUAAAAGACAAAUAAAGCGGGGAGUCAGACGGGGAUCUGGCUGUGUCUCCACGUAUCUUUAAUUGACACAUCUGCAUCCCUGAUGAAAUAUUUACCGCCUCUGACGAUGGAGCGGCGGUGCGUGGCGAUCGGCGCUGUGUUUUGCCCGUGGUGUUGUCGACAUGUGAUAGUGUUAUUGAUGUUAUUAGCAUAGAGACGCUCCUGGUGAGGAGCUACAGAUCUGUUUCAGUCUGAUCAUCCAGGACCGAUCGUUUUCUCCUUUUCUCGUCUUUUUAGGAGAAGUCACAUGACCGACCACGUCAGGUUAACAGAGCGGACCCCGUCCGUCACGCCUCUGAGGGGGUUAACGCACACUUGUGUUUUUUCUUUAAGGUGUUUUUUUCUGUUUAUGACGUUUUGAUUUCCAUCAGAAACACGAGUUGAUUCAGAUUUUCUGUCUGUUGAGACUCGAAGUCGUCGUCCUGCUGUGUGGACGAUCACAGUGAAACUGUCAGCUGUGGUUCAGUAUCUGAGUCCACGUUCAGACUGCAGGUCAGUUCUGAUUGGUUCUGAUCCGACCCUCUUCUGUAUGUGGAUAUAAAUCAGAUAUGUAUCUGAUGUGACUGCAGUGUGACGCUCAGGUCGUGUUUAUCCGACCUUUACGUCAUCAAUAUGAGACAAACGUCACCAUUGUUCAACGACACAAACAGGAGCGGAAAGAUAUUUGUGUUCAUGCGGGUCACUGUGAUGUGAGCGACCGCACAAAAAGAUCGGAUUGAACAAAAACUCAGAAUUGUGCAUCAGAACCUGCAGAGUGAACGUGGACUAAGAGGACCGGGUUUUUGUCAGCUGAUCCCACACGGUCUGGAUCCUGGUUGGUUCCGGAGUGUUGGGGAUCAGAUCCGUGUGUGAGAGCAGGUUUUUAUUCUGUCUCUGUUUGUGUGUCAGUGUUUUUAUGUUUGCAUACGUGCUGCUCCUGUUUGUGUGUCUGCUAUAGGCUUUUCAUGGGCGUGUGUGUGUGUGUGUGUGCGCGCGCAGCGGCGUGCCUGUCGGGAUGUGGCGGCCCUCUCAGCCAUGUCAGGGACAGCUUCGUGGAGGGUGGCAGCCGGGGAAAAUGAUGAUGAUGAAAUUAAAAUUCUGCGCCCGGCAGAAGGGGCUGCCGCGAUUUCACUGGCGGCUGUGCGCAUCGAUCUGUUCCAGCAUUUGACUUUCAACCAUGACAAAACUGUGGGCAAAUUAAUUGUUCUCCAGGAUAUUAGGCAUCAGAGUCCAUUAAUCCUCUCUGGAGCGCCACGCCGCAUGAAUACUAAUCGUCUUUCCAGGCAGCCGUCUCAUCCCUCGCUCCCUUCGCUCUCCUC